Long non-coding RNA from Daphnia magna, 273 nucleotides. RefSeq lists it as uncharacterized. The transcript is spliced from 3 exons. The record is from RefSeq and is a predicted model, not a curated record. NCBI's taxonomy places the organism in Eukaryota, Metazoa, Arthropoda, Branchiopoda, Diplostraca, Daphniidae.
CUGAAAGCGUGGUUCGCAUGAUCAAACGCAUGGUCUCUGUUCUCUGGCAGAUUUACUGGUUUCUAUCAUUGUGGUUAUUUGAUGUCAUUUGGUGACAUUUUUAUCAUUGCAUCAGUUGAAGUCUUUCUUGACUAUAUUUUGGCCUGUGAUUGUGAGACAUUGUGAUUCAUGCCCUUUCUUCACGUCAUUGGUUGAUCUGUCAUCUUUCCAACUUGUGCGAGUGGUUAUUACUCUUUGUUUCUGUUGCGUAUGUGUGUCCUUUUAUUUCCCAGG